ACGACCUUCAACAAACAGCCAGAAUGCCUUUGACAGAGUGAUACACAGAGUCUUACUUCACCUACCAGCAGAAAAGAUCAACGCUCUAGUGCGUGCAGACAGAACACAAUUGGCUUAUCCGACUUAAACUGUAUAUCCAUGCCCAUCAGGAAAUUAUAAUCAACAAAUACAGCCAUGGGAAAAGAGUACCCGCAAUGCAUGGAGGGCCAGAAGAAUGGAAGUAAACCUCCCCCUUAUAAAUAAGAAGAGUCAUUCAGAAAUAGAGUGUUG
RNAcentral lists this long non-coding RNA (270 nucleotides) under Homo sapiens (human). RNAcentral's name for it is "HSALNT0336872". The record is from RNAcentral. Lineage: Eukaryota; Metazoa; Chordata; Mammalia; Primates; Hominidae.